Molecule: long non-coding RNA, 1049 nt
Organism: Scylla paramamosain (green mud crab)
Lineage: Eukaryota; Metazoa; Arthropoda; Malacostraca; Decapoda; Portunidae
Exons: 3
Source: RefSeq, a predicted model, not a curated record
UCACAACGCAGAGGGAAACUUAGGCAUUAUUAACUAUGUGGCGUACUGGAGGUCGCAGGAGGACAGUGGUAUAAUAGAGGAAUAUAAGGAAGGGAAAGGUUAGGAUCACUUUCAGCAAGCACGCAAGAACACAAGAAGCACAAUGAGUCGCCUGAUUAUUGUGUUGUUUGUGGUGAUGGUGGUGGUGGUGGUGGUGCUGAGUGAGCUGGUGACAGGCGCGCCCUCUGAUGCUUCACACCUGCGCGUGGCCAGAGCAGUGAAGCUAUUUGUCUACAAUGGCUCGCCGUCCAGACAUGCCACUUCGGGUGCAGUGAGAAAUCGCGGAGGUAAGCGGCCACGCAUAUACAGAGGAAACCGUCGCGGGAAUAGAUAUACUCGUUACCGUGGAUAAAGUAACUGCAUAUACUUACGGUGGCUAAGGUACAGGUUAGCGAGAUGACGAGGUGAGAACAGGACGAAAUGUUGUUGUGCGGAAGAUUGCAUUGAGGUACAGUGAUGUGGAAAGUGGAAUGAAAAAAAUGAGAAAUGGAAAGAGAUCGGGUUGAAAUAGAAAAAAAGAAAAAAAAGGAACAAGAAAAUGGGAAAUUGAGAAAGGAUGAGUUGAGGAACGAAGAAGAUGAGAAAUAGAAAGAGAAUGGGUUGAAGAAUGAAGAAAAGAAAUUGAAAAAAAAAUGGGUUGAGGAAUGAAAAACCAAGAGGUGAAAGGAAGAAAAAAAGAGACUUGUUUGGGUUAAGAUGCGAUGUUAGAAAAAAGAAGAAUGAAAAGAAGAUAAGAAAAUUAACGGGACAAAAAAGGUUAUCAAAAAUGUGAGGAAACGGAAGGAAAUUAAAUGGAAAGAUAUGUAAAUGGAAAAAUUGAAAUACGGAAAAAAGGAAAAGUGUAACAUAAGUUGAAAGACUGUUAAAGUCUAGAUUCUUUAAUUAUUAAGCUUCAUUUUUUGUUUCCUUAUUUGUUUGUUUUUAGUGUAUGUGUUUGUCAUUUUUCUAAAUGUUUCUUUGUUAAUUUAUCGUUAAACAAUUUAGUUUUUAAUAAAGUUAUCUGAAUAUUA